This 497-nucleotide ribosomal RNA is filed under the name uncultured bacterium. Its description in RNAcentral is "partial 16S ribosomal RNA". It matches the Rfam family "Bacterial small subunit ribosomal RNA", at positions 28 to 507 of the family's 1533-position model. The record is from RNAcentral.
GAUGAACGCUGGCGGCGUGCCUAAUACAUGCCAGUCGAGCGAACAGACGAGGAGCUUGCUCCUCUGACGUUAGCGGCGGACGGGUGAGUAACACGUGGAUAACCUACCUAUAAGACUGGGAUAACUUCGGGAAACCGGAGCUAAUACCGGAUAAUAUAUUGAACCGCAUGGUUCAAUAGUGAAAGACGGUUUUGCUGUCACUUAUAGAUGGAUCCUCGCCGCAUUAGCUAGUUGGUAAGGUAACGGCUUACCAAGGCGACGAUGCGUAGCCGACCUGAGAGGGUGAUCAGCCACACUGGAACUGAGACACGGUCCAGACUCCUACGGGAGGCAGCAGUAGGGAAUCUUCCGCAAUGGGCGAAAGCCUGACGGAGCCACGCCGCGUGAGUGAUGAAGGUCUUCGGAUCGUAAAACUCUGUUAUUAGGGAAGAACAACUGUGUAAGUAACUAUGCACGUCUUGACGGUACCUACUCAGAAAGCCCCGGCUAACUACGUG